Molecule: ribosomal RNA, 459 nt
Filed under: uncultured bacterium
Lineage: Bacteria
Description: partial 16S ribosomal RNA
Rfam family: Bacterial small subunit ribosomal RNA
Source: RNAcentral
CCUACGGGAGGCAGCAGUGAGGAAUAUUGGUCAAUGGCCGUAAGGCUGAACCAGCCAAGUCGCGUGAAGGAAGAAGGAUCUAUGGUUUGUAAACUUCUUUUAUAGGGGAAUAAAGGUAUCCACGUGUGGAUAUUUGCAUGUACCCUAUGAAUAAGCAUCGGCUAACUCCGUGCCAGCAGCCGCGGUAAUACGGAGGAUGCGAGCGUUAUCCGGAUUUAUUGGGUUUAAAGGGUGCGUAGGCGGGCCUUUAAGCCGGCGGUGAAAUCGCGGGGCUCAACCCCGCCGAGCCGUCGGAACUGGGGGCCUUGAGUGCGGCGGAGGCAUGCGGAAUUCGUGGUGUAGCGGUGAAAUGCUUAGAUAUCACGAAGAACUCCGAUUGCGAAGGCAGCUUACUAAACUGCCACUGACAUUGAUGCUCGAAAGUGUGGGUAUCAAACAGGAUUAGAUACCCCUGUAGUC